Nasonia vitripennis (jewel wasp) is the source of this 15603-nucleotide RNA transcript. It is a transcript of the gene named protein furry, with no coding region annotated. The record is from RefSeq and is a predicted model, not a curated record. NCBI's taxonomy places the organism in Eukaryota, Metazoa, Arthropoda, Insecta, Hymenoptera, Pteromalidae. The transcript has 62 exons.
AUUAAUUUGGGCCGAUUUUUUUUUUUUUUUUUUUUUUUUGCACUAUCGCUUGGAAAAAUCGGCGGGAAAUUCGAAAAGCUCGCGUUAGUUGAUUAAUUAAUUAAUCUAGUUGAGACUGAGACUAUUUAAAAAUUUAGGUGUUUUCUGAUGUUUGCUGAUAGUCUCAGAUCUAGCGUUAAUUCUACGCUACAGCGGACAAAACAAUCCAAUCUAUCACAUAGUCGCAAAGAACGAAUCCUUUUUCAACUACUCAGCCCAGUACGCGCGUAGAAAACCAACCUCUCUUGCGCGCAUGUAAAACCCGUAAAAUUAGCAUAAGAAUAGCAAACACCGAUCUAACGUCCAAAGCGCGCAACAGUAUAUACCUACUGUACAGUGUCUAACGGGGCUUUUCACCGAAAAACCGCGCUAACGGACCGUCAAGCCUCUCGAUCACAAGCAUAACCCGUUCGGCCCCAUAUGGUGGCUCCACCUGACGGCGUUUACCGUCAAUCACACCUCUCCGUACUCGCGCACAAAACAACACUCAGUACGAUACACAUUAUAGACUGGCAGAUGUACAUUGUACCACCUACGGCAAUACAUAUAGCUAUACAUAGCUGUACAGACACACGCAGUACGAUCCCGAGAACGAGGAGCGAGCGAAUGAGAGACACGGCGAGGAAAAAGGAUAGAGACGAAGAAAACGACGAAAGGGAGCAAUAAUACGCAAUGGAAGCCGGAGACUUUUCGUCCGAGGCGUGAAUCCAAGUGUGACGCACCGCACGAAAUGGCUUGACAGGAAAGCCGAGAGAUGUUGCCUGAAACAGAGGCAAACAUUGAAAACAUGACCGAAGGAGGUGAAAACCAACCUAGUGGCGAGGGAGGAACGCAAAGUGGUGGUGGUGGUGAAACAGCUGAGUCACGAGUAGUUCAAGGUGAAGGUCUUUAUGAGGGAACGUUGGAAACGACGAGCUUCUCAGGACCAUGUCAAGACACAAUACUGACUCAUGGGUUGGGACAAGGGGAAGGCAGCGACGCAACAAGUGUUCACACUGCUAGCACCUCCAUAUCAGGCAAUGAGUCCAACUCUAGCAGAGUGAGUAUCGUAACCGUUGUGUUGCCUUGGGGUGCCCAAAAGGAAACUAUGAAGUCCCAACAAACUGGGGACAUGGAUCUGCGACCAGGAGAAUUCGUGAUGCAAUCGCUUUUUGCUGAUUUUACAGCACAAGCUGAAAAGAAAAUGGAGGCUGUGAUGACUGAAACAGAAAAGCCACUUUCCAAAGUUCUCCAGAGAGGCGAAGAUCUACAAUUUGAUCAGCUGUUAUCAGCUUUUGGUUCGGUCGCAGAACAUUGUCUCCCCUCAAUACUACGGGCACUUUUCAACUGGUAUGAAAGACAACUUGUGGACCAUGGAACGGACCAAAAGAAACUUGCAGCUGCAAAAGAAGAUCAAAAAGGCAAAAGUAUUAUGUAUACAAUAGUAUCAGGUAGCGUAGAAACAGUUGAAAAAAGUGAAGCUGAUUUACUCCAAGAAAGAAGAGAUCUGGCUGUGGAAUUUAUAUUUUGUUUAAUGCUGAUUGAAAUUUUAAGACAAUUACCAUUCCAUCCUGGUCACGAAGAUUUAGUUUCGUACAUUGAAAAUAUUGCCUUUAAACAUUUUAAAUAUAGAGAAGGAAUUCAAAAUGAACCAAAUGCGGGUAAUAUCCAUAUCAUAGCAGAUUUAUAUGCGGAAGUGAUAGGCGUCUUAGCCCAAUCUCGCUUUAUGUCUGUACGCAAACGUUUUGUCGUUGAGUUGAAAGAAUUACGAGCUAAAGAGCCUGGACCUCAUACAACUCAGAGCAUAAUUUCACUACUUAUGGGUAUGAAAUUUUUCAGGGUCAAGAUGGUACCAAUAGAAGAAUUUGAAGCCUCCUUUCAAUUCAUGCAAGAGUGUGCUCAAUAUUUUUUAGAAGUGAAGGAUAAAGACGUGAAACACGCACUAGCCGGCUUAUUCGUCGAAAUUCUUGUUCCUGUUGCAGCUGCUGUGAAAAAUGAAGUUAACGUUCCUUGCUUAAAAAAUUUCGUUGAAAUGCUAUAUUCUACGACUUUGGACAUGUGUACAAAAAACAAACAUCGUCUUGCACUUUUUCCUCUGGUUACAUGUCUUUUGUGCGUCAGCCAGAAGACCUUCUUUUUACAAAAUUGGCAUUACUUUUUGGCGAUGUGUCUCUCUCAUUUGAAAAAUCGUGAUCCUAAAAUGUGUCGCGUCGCUUUAGAGGCUCUCUAUCGUUUACUCUGGGUGUACAUGAUCCGCAUAAAGUGUGAGAGCAAUUCAGCGACGCAAAGUCGACUGCAGAGUAUCGUCAACUCGCUUUUCCCCAAAGGUUCCAAAGCGGUCGUUCCUCGCGAUACUCCGCUCAACAUCUUCGUCAAGAUAAUCCAGUUUAUUGCGCAGGAACGUCUCGAUUUCGCAAUGCGUGAGAUAGUUUUUGAUCUACUGUCAGUCGGCCGUCCCGUAAAAAUUAUUCUUACGCCCGAACGCAUGAGCAUCGGCCUUCGAGCCUUUCUAGUUGUAGCUGAUAGUCUGCAGCAGAAAGAAGGAGAACCACCCAUGCCGCGUACUAUGGGUGUUUUGCCUAGUGGUAACACCAUGCGCGUCAAGAAGACUUACUUGAAUAAGAUGCUGACGGAAGAUACGGCCAAGAGCAUUGGAAUGUCCUCCUACUUUCCACAUGUACGACGUGUCUUUGUGGAUAUUCUUCGUGCCCUGGAUGUUCACUACGGUCGGCCCCUUAUGAUGACGAGCACUCAGAAUGUGAAUAAGGAGCCUGACGAGAUGAUUACGGGCGAACGCAAGCCCCGGAUAGAUUUGUUUCGAACGUGUGUUGCAGCGGUGCCGCGUCUCAUACCCGAUGGAAUGACCGGUGCUGAGCUCGUUGACAUGCUAGCUAGAUUGACUGUGCAUAUGGACGAGGAGUUGAGAGGAUUGGCCUAUCAAAGUCUCCAGACGCUUGUAAUUGAUUUUCCAGACUGGCGACAAGAUGUCGUGCUCGGUUUUACACAGUUUCUUGCUCGAGACGUGCAGGACACGUUUCCCCAGUUACUGGACAACGGGCUACGCAUGCUGUUGCAACUGUUGACCUGCUGGAGGAACGCACUCGCCAAUCCAAGUGCUAAGGCUAAGGAACAGCCAGCUGACGGUGUGCGACUCAACUCGCGUAUGAUCGUCGACGGCGUCACGAAAAAAGAUACAACUGGACAAAAAGUUGAACCUGUCUCGAGCGUCUUCCACCUGGUUGAGGGCUUUGCCCUUGUCAUGCUUUGUAACUGCCGUCUUUACCCACGACGCCUUGCAGUCCAUAUAUUAAGGGAGAUCAAACUCCUAUUGAAGACCUUUGCUAGUCUAGAAGAUGAUCAGCCUGUGAUUGAUGUGAUUGAUGCCUGCUGUCCAGCAGUUUUAGAAAAGUAUUAUUACAUGCUCCCACCCGCGGAGAAGGCAGCCGCUGCUUCAACAUCUAAUGUUGAUUUACAGUGGAUAGCAGAUAGAAGUAGUUGUGUUUGGACAGCUGGAUUCCAUGAUGAAAACAGCACAAAAAGUUCCUCAUUAUUGAAUUUAAAUGGAGCGGAUCCUUGGAGCAGUUGUUUGUUUGCAUUUUUAGAGAAGGAUAGAGUUCUGACGUUAUGCCCGAACGCCGUUGCUCACUCGUGGCCUAUUGUUUUUAAUCGUAUCAACUCUUUGUUUACUGUAGUUGACCCAACGCCAGUAAAUGAUAAUAGAGCGUCCCUUUUAAGAAGUUCUACGGCCAUUCGUAAGCCAGUUAAUGAGAGAGAUGUUUACAUACAUGUCUGGAAAAACUAUUUAACUUUUGGAUACCGCGUUGUGCCACCUAUACCAAGUCCGAUAAUUCGCUGCGCGAGCCCAGAUUUGAGUCUAAGUGGUCAGCAUACGGUGGAGUUUGGUGUGUUGUGCAUGAGUAAGGAGUUGAGUCAGAGCCUGGAGAACCUCGGCGGGGCCCAGACCCUGCCGGGCCGCUUCUCCGUACCGUCGAUAUCCGGCAUCUACACCAGGCACAAGCGGACAAGCUCGUCCCCGGACAGCCUGUCAGCGGAACGUGGCGACAACAAAUCGCCGGGGACUAACGCAAGUCCCUCGGCGUUGUAUAAGCUGACUGUACCGCUUCUCAGGUGCGAGACCAUCGACGUCCGCGAUGCCGCUGUUCACGCGAUCGGCAAAGUCAAUGCUGACGCUCUCAAAGACCUGAUGGAGGAGCUCGUGCCUUAUAUCCGCGAGGCGGUGGACCGCAAACAGGAGAACAUGAGACGCCGCAGAAGACGAGAUGCCCUGAGGCUUCAGCUUGUGAGAGUACUCGAGCUCAUCGCCGAGUACGGGACCUUUGGGAUCUGCCCGGCAGUACUGGACCGAGAGACGCAAUCGCUGCAUCCGACGUUUGUCGAAUACAUCGAUGGAGCUAGAGUGUAUCUGGAAAACGAAACCGACAAGGAAGCCCCGGCCGUCAGGGACAUCAAGUUACACUUCUGCAAUUUCAUUCGCAAGAUGCUCAAGAGCUUUUCACUGGAGGCCUGCCACACUUUGCUGAAACGCGAUUUGCGGCGCAAUCUCUUUGGUUUAUUCGCCAGUUGGGCCGGACCGUAUGGCAAACCACUUAUGUCCGCUGCUGCUAUGCCCCAAGAGGAGGACAAGUGCUCAGAGCUCCAGCUAUCUGCCCUCCAGGCCAUGAGCGGAUUACUCUGUUGUGGACCAUGUUUCAAUACCCAAAGCCUCAGCGAGGAAGGCUCGAUACUCUAUCAGUGGCUAGAUUUACUUCUGGCUAGCAGAGAAGAGAAGAUCUACGGACUUGCUCGAGAGACCGUCGUGCUGCUGCUCGAAGGCAACCCAGAUAUUGGUCCGUUGCUUGACUGGGUUGUAGACCGAUGUUACACCGGACUGCCACAGGUCGCAGACGGCUGUUUCCUCGCUCUCGCCACUAUCUUCAGUGCCCGCGAGUAUCCGUGCGAUCAUUACACGAGCAUCAUCAACGUGACGCUGAUGAAUACAGGCUGUCCUAGAGCACCGGUGCAAGACGCCGCCCUCCAGCUGUUACAGCUGCUUGAUCAGCGCUUCUUCGGCAACGUGCGACCGCUACCAGCUCCUGACUCUGACACUGGUCAAGAAGAUCCAGCAUCGACAACGGCCGGCGGUACAUCGACGACAACAACAAUCAUCACCACAACCAGUAACACGAGUACAACGAGUUCGUCGGCAGUGGCGGUAGCUAUCUCCCAAUCGAACAUAUCUUCAACCGGUCAACAGCAGCAGCGAGUAGAGCGCGAAAAGGAUAGAGAGCGCGCAGGGACUCUCGACGCCCUUCUAAGCGCGAGCUACUGCCGAAACCAGAAGUACUUGUCAAGACAACUUGCCCAGUUGCAUCCCGAGCUCACUAUGCCUAUGUUCAGCGAGAUAACCCAUAGGUUUCAGACAGCUCGUCGGGAGGUCCGACAGCUGCUGCUCCAGUACCUGCUGCCCUGGCUGCACAACAUGGAGCUCGUCGAUCCGAACGUACCACCACCCUCGAAUCCUCUCAGUUACUAUCAGUGCUACGGUAACGAUGUGACAGCGCGCAGUGGAGCCGGCACAGGUCGACGCGAGGGUUGGGGCAGCGCCGAAGCCACCGAGAUGGUCCUCAACAACCUUUUCUACAUAACGGCCAAGUUUUCGGAUGAGCACCCGAAGGAGACGGAGGAACUUUGGGCAACGCUCUGCGGCUGCUGGCCGAACAAUCUGAAAGUGAUCAUUCGCUACCUCAUCAUUGUGUCGGGUAUGGCUCCGCAGGAACUUCUGCCUUACGCAAAACGAGUAGUGCUGUACCUGGCGCGCGCUCGGCCGGACCGUCUAGUGGACGAGAUGAUGACGGAAUUGCAGACUGUUGAGACCCUCAACUGUUUGAUCGAGCGCACGGAGACGCCUCCAUUCUACAGACUGACUAGCAUGCGCAAGGCUUCGUCUCACAGCGACGCCCCUGCAGCCGAUCCGGGUAAUCCCAGCAAGGACCUCGGAGUCGAGAAAGGCACGAUACACACCAAGAGACACUCCGGAGAGGAUCCCAUCAAGACUGGCUGCUCCAAAUCGGACUCCGCUCUUCGCGCCCUGGCCGGUUUCCCGUGUGGUCGGUCAGACAAGUCUCGGGCGACUUCCGGUGGUCCUCUGCUCGCUGACGAUUUAUCGACUCCUCUGACCGAGGCAGAGUACUUUGACUUUCAGCUGAUGUCCGAGGACGCCUACUACAUACGCAACGUGCCUGUGGUGUUUAACGGUAGACCAACUGCGCCGAGCGGCGGUGAGAAGCUCGAUGUGCCUCAGCCGCAUCCUCUGCCUAUGCCUGAAUACGGUGGCUACUUCGCACCACUAACAGAGUACUUACCGGACAGUUCGCAACCCAUCAGCGGCUUUCAUCGGUGUAACAUUGCGGUGAUGCUGUUGACCGAUGUAGUAGUCGAUGGUAUUCAGCUCGACUGGGCCAUCCACGUACCGCUGAUGCUACACAUCGUCUUUCUGGGUUUGGAUCACUCGAGGCCUCUAGUGCGCGACCACUGCCGCUUGUUGCUGCUCAACAUGCUCGUCGUGCUGGGUGAUCACAGAGAUCACCUAGGCGUCGCCCGAGUUCUUUUGGCUACUAAGACGGAUCUGCUGGGUCUGGGGUUGUCGACACCGCCGUUGCCCGUGGUAGAACACAACUUUACGGAGGUCGAUCCUGAGUUCGAUAGCUAUCUGUAUGGGCCACCGCCGGCUGCGUUCGCACAGCUUAACGUUGGUAUUGUGGUACCGGCGGGCCAAGCAUCGCCACAGAGUCAUUCGCCGCCUCCUCUCCAACCAAACACACCACCGUCAUCGCCACCUCCACCGCCACCACUACCUAUACCACCACCACCGCCUCUUCCACCUGCCGGUGAGCAACAGCAGCAGCAACAACAGAGCUCGUCGUCGCCAACCCUUUCGUCAUCGCAGUCAUCCUCGUCUAACAAUGCCAGCCCUGUGCACUCGCCCGUCAACGCGACAGGUACAACUCCACCCGCGACUAUCAGGCAUGUUGCACCCAGCCUUGGAGACGAGAGCAGAAAUACCGCAGCUGUCUAUUCGUAUGAUUCCUCGUGUCAAGCUAACUGGACUGCAGGUACAAGAACAACAACGAAUGUCGUGCCACCAGUCAUCGUCACUCCUGAAGAUGGAGUGAACUGGCCCGGCCCUCAGCCUGGACCCAACAUGCCUAUUCAGGAUGUAAUCAAAUCUUUGAUUAAUUUCCUUGCAUCGAGAACAAACCAGCCUCUCUGGAACUAUGAGGACAUGACAGCAAAAGUCUGGUGGGUGCGUAGCGCCGAGCAGCUGACAAUUCUACUACGGCACGUGUUGCGCGUCUUUCGCGAGUCGCUACCCCACGCUUUGGUCAGCCAGCGCUGGGCUCAGACAGCUCUGCAGCUUGGAUUAUCCUGUUCCUCACGACACUACGCUGGCAGAUCACUACAGGUCUUCAGAGCGCUUAGGAUACCUAUUACCUCACGCAUGUUGUCCGACAUAUUAUCGAGGCUCGUGGAGACUGUUGCCGAACAAGGGGAAGAUAUGCAGGGUUACGUAACGGAGCUGCUACUGACGUUGGAGGCUGCGGUCGACACGCUUGAAUCGGACUUUAGGCCGCUAGACUUUAUGAAGGAGAUCUUCAAAUCGACGCCAAACCUUAACAACAAGGAGGCUGCCUCGUGCCUAGCUAAGAGGUGCUCUGCAGGGGCAACGGGAUACUAUCCCCAGGGUCCGCAGAUGUUCUCCCAUCUCAAUCAGCAGGGACACAUGCGGAGUACGAGUUAUUCCGUUAGCUAUUCCAUGAGGAAAUCGGCAGCUGCGGCUAAUGCUGCGGUUAGCGAGGCGAAAGAAUUGGAAUGUCGUGCGGGCGGCGCCAAAUACAGCAACUCAAACCUUUCGCGUUCGCGCUCGGCUCAAUCGUUAAAGCUAUUAGGCGACUCGGCAACACAAGACGACAAGAUGACGAUCCUUGCGCAGCUUUUUUGGCUGUCCGUUUCACUGCUUGAAUCCGACUACGAGCACGAGUUUCUACUGGCGCUGAGAUUACUCGAUCGGGUUUUGCACAGACUACCGCUUGAUCGGCCCGAUGCCCGGGACAAGGUCGAAAAAUUGCAGCAACAGCUCAGGUGGAGCUCAUUCCCGGGUGUGCAUGCGCUUCUGCUAAAGGGUUGUACGAGUCCAAACACCUAUGAGUCGGUAGUAACACUUUUGUCACAGUUUACCUUGUUGUUGGACCUGCCAGUUGUCGAUCCGACGCAAAGCCUGGCCUUUCCGAUGAACGUUGUGUCCCUGCUGCCCUAUAUGCUGUUGAAUUAUGAAGAUGCCAACGAGCUUUGCAUUAGAAGCGCCGAAAAUAUUGCCCAGGUAAGCGCAGAAAAGGGCAAAAAAUUAGAAAACCUGGGUACAGUCAUGACGCUGUACAGCCGCCGCACCUUCAGCAAGGAGAGUUUUCAGUGGACCAAAUGUGUGGUCAAGUAUCUUUACGAUACGUACGCGCAUCUAAGCUUCAACAUGCUGGCCUUUUUAGUCGAGGUCCUAGAAAAAGGGCCAGCCAAUGUGGCGCUACCCGUACUCAGCAUUAUCCACUGCAUGUUGCAUUACAUCGAUAUUUCAUCUCAGGCGGCACAGCCUACCAACAUAGAUUUACUACGUGUCAUUUCAAAAUACGUUGAGGGUCCUCACUGGAAAGAGGCUUUAAAAAUAUUGAAACUAGUGGUCACUCGAUCUUCAACAUUAGUGGCACCACCAACUACAGUUCACGCCCCAUCAUGGGAACCAUCGAUAUCAUCACCUCAUCCUAGCUUUAACGACAACGAAAUAUUCACUAAAAAAGAAUUACCUGGUAGAACCAUGGAUUUCACGUAUGAUUUGUCGCAAACUCCUGUGAUAGGAAAACGUUGGCUUAUACGACAAGUUAAUGAAGAGAAAAAUACAAAUUCACCCCGAAGAUCUAUAUCGUUGUCGCCAGCGGAUAAUGGACCUGCAUCUGGUUGGAAAAGGCCGUGGAUGUCACAGGGUCGUGUAAGAGAAUGUUUGGUAAAUCUGCUGACAACUUGUGGCCAGCGAGUUGGAUUGCCAAAGAGUCCAUCUGUGAUAUUUAGUCAGAGUUCUGAUUUGAUGGAAAGACAAUCAUCCAUGGCCUCGUCAACCGAAGAAGUUUCUGGCGCUAACAAUGAUCUAAGCGGAGGAUCCCGCCGAGAUGAUGAACAAUUUGGCGUCUUUAAAGACUUUGACUUUUUAGAGUAUGAGAGCGAAAGCGUUGAGGGUGAAAGUACAGAUAACUUCAAUUGGGGUGUCAGACGUCGUCCUCUUAGUGAAGGAGAGGAACGGGAGCCAAGUUUACGAACGUUUGAAGAAAGUCUUAGUGAAAAAACGGUUUCAUCGAGUAAACAGUCUAUUCGACGUGGAGUUGCUGAGGAGUCAUCGGACGAUGAAAUCGGUUCUGAAUCUCCACUGGAUGAAGUCCCUGGUGGAUCUGGAACAGGUCAAGAGGCUAACAGCAUACCUGGUAUUUUUCCUCCAUCUUCUUUGUCAUUGAUACCAAGUCGAAGUCGACACGAUUCCUCAACCAGAUCUGAUACAUCUGGCUCGAGUGCUGGGGAUCUUGGUGACGUGACACCGUGUAACGCUUCACCGAAUCUGUCGGCUUUAAUGCCUUUUAGGCAGGUAGUCCGUGAUGAUGCCGAAGAAAUUUGGCGGCAACAGAUUCAGAAUUUGAUCGCACAGACUCCCUGCAACCCUUUGGAUGUCUUUCAACUUCUUAGUAAAAUUUUAAGAGACGUUUGUGGGAAAUCCGUGAAUCUUACCCGAGAGGCUGGUUCAUUGCUGAAUAACGGGAGCGCUGCCUCUGCACAACUGGCAUCGCACUUAUCUAGUCAUGCUGAAUUAUUAGGCUCAAAAGGCGAACCACCGAUCGUAUGGUUUGCUUCGUCGGUAUUCGCAAAUCAGAGGCUUCACGAAACACUAAGAUUUGGAUUACUUGAGAUGCAAGAACACCUUGAAACUUUCUUAGACAGAAAGGACCAUGCUUCCGAGUGUUUAGAGGCUGUAAAAACAGCUAACAAACUGCAAUCCCUUGGUGAAGCACACUCGCACACAGAGAGCGGUCUCGAAGAGAUGCUGCUGGAUCUCGGACGUGCUCUUUACAAGCUUCACUUCCAGCUGUUAUUGCUUAUCGAGGCCUCUAACAAAAUGCUAUGCGCUUUAACCAGUGCCGCCAAAAAUUCACAAGCCAGCCUCCAGGACAUGUCUGCAGAGAUUGCGAGUAUGCGACAGUCGCUGGCCCGUUCGAUCGAGAUUGAUAGCGGUGAGAGCGAAAGAGGCACACCAACUCCAAGUCCAAGUCCUCAACCAGAGGCUGGAAACAGUAGCAAUGGGAACGAGGCAUUAACGAGAGUGGCAGAAUUAUUAAAGGCUGCCAAAUGGACAGCUGCCCUGGAGAUAGUAAGAGUACACAGAGCCCAAUGGACCGGCGACCCCUUCCAUGACGAUGACGACGUAACUACCGCCGUCAAUAUGUUUUGCAGGCACCUAGGUCAAGACAGAGCCGAUAUUUUUGUAGUAACAAGGAGCGAAGAUGACAUGUCCGAAACUUUCGGCAGACUGAUGGAGAGUCUCUUUAGAGUUUUGGCUGCUGUGACUAGUUUGGAGCUUUAUACAAAGGCUUUAAGAGUUCAAAGCGAGCACACAAAUCACACAAAAGCAGACUGCUAAUGCGAUAUUCAAAGAUAGUAUUUAGUAACAUUUUUCGAUACCUAGACACUAGAAUUUUAUUAAUUAUUGUUGUACAUGUGCGCUGUGUGUACAGAUCGUGUAUACUAAAGAAACUUCAUGUCGGUGAAGACCGUCAUAAAAUACGUAGAAAAAGAAUUAAAAAAUUGCAUUUUUACAAAGGAAUUCGAUUGAUUUAUGCUUUAAAACUAGUUUAUAGAUCCUUAAUUAAUCAUUUCAAUGUUUAUUUUUCAUUUAUUUAGAAUGUACGAUGUAUAUUUGUGUGUGAGUUAAGUUAUUAUCUAUAAAUGUCCUAUCACAUUUUAAAUUUUCCUCGCAAAACGCAGUAAAGUCUGUAGGUUUAAACUACUCUAAUACAGAACAAACCCACGCUUUACAUCGCGAAGACUCAUGUCUGAUUGGUCAUCCUAUAUAUUCACAAUGAGCGCUAACGGUACUGUGUGCUCCCGCCUAAAUCGUAACUUCUUAUAUUGCUCACUACUAAGGUUAUAAAUUGUUGUGCAAAGUAUGCAGAAAAAUUGAAAAUCUCCUUGAAAAAGCACGCCAAAAUUAAACUGAGCUUUAAGUCGUCGAAUCAACAGUAUUAAUACCUACUAACAGCCAGAAAUCUUUUGUGCUCGUAGAUAAGAUAUAACACGUGGGAAAGAUAAUAUUGUAUGAAACCUAAUGAGAACAGGGACGAGAAGAUAAUCUAGAGUUUCAUUCUGUCACCAAAGCAACGAUAUAGUGGCAUACACUGUUUUUUUUUUAAAUUGAAUUUAAACGGUGUUAUCUAGUCUUGUAAUCUAACAAUGGAAUUAAACCACGAAAAAUCUUUAACUGCUGGAGCAUACGCUUUUGCGUAUCUUCUUUCUGGACUUUUGCUAAAAUAUGUGUUAUAUGAUAACGGAUUUACUAUUGCUAACCUAUUUUUAGUUGCAGGCGUAACCUACGUCCGUUUAUUCCUGUUAAAAGAAGAGAGUUUCCGGCUUCAAGAAAGUGCCGCACUUAUUUUGUUUGUUUUGUUUGAUAAAAAUCUUCUUGAUUUGGGCAAUGUUUUGCUCCUCCUUGGCGUUGCAUGCAUACGGGAGCAAUUUCAUCGGGCUACUCUUACGGAAAAGGAUAUAUUGUACAAGGAGACAAUAUCCUUUGCUUGUGGAUUAAUUUUUGCGCUAAUGGGCUGGUACAGCGUUGGCAGGAUCCUCAUAAUUUAUGCGCUCAUCAUGUUUUACUACUUUACAGUCCUAAUGGUUCUUUCCGUAUUUGUUAUUUUCACAUUGUUUGACAACUUUCUGGACUACUUAAAGAAUUACUACAAAAAAGAACCCGAAGAAACGAAGACUCUUGAUGAGUAAUUUAUAGCUGUUGAAUGAUCUAUUUUUAUAUACUUUGAGCUUUAAUUAUUUGUUAUGUAUUUAUCUAUGGACAUGUACAUACUCGAAUGCAAUAUAUACAUACAUGAGUAAAUUUUUAAUUUUCACAAUGCGAAAUCAAAUUAUCCACUAUGUAAUUUUUUAAAAUUUGUUCAUUGAUUCCUUUCAUAAUGGUCUAAAUUAAUGCCAGAAAUUUAACUAUUUGAUGUAGGUUCUUGAGAAGCAGCCAUAAAAAAAGUUCAGCAGGUGUUCGAUGUGUAAAAAAUGCAAAAAUAGUAAAAUAAACUAUGUAUAGCGAAAACGUAAAUAAACGUCAAGGUUGAGGCUGCGAGAAGAGCAGGCGGCUUGCGAAAAGAGAGGGGACACUCUCUCUUCUAUGCAUCGUUGAAGGAGAACCAGACCCCUGAACGGUACUAUACAUUCAGGUUUACUUUCUCUCAGAUCGCAACUUCUCAUCAUAUUGCUUUCUACUCACGUUGUGAAACGUUGUCCAACGUAUCUGAAAACAUUGAAAAUCAGUUGGAAAAUCGCACACCAAAAUUAUAAUAUCUUCAAGUCACCAAAGUUAAUAAGUAUUGCUAUACUAACUAAUAGCCGAAAAUUUACUACAUCUCUUGUGCUUAUAUACACCGUAAAUAGUAUCGGAUAUAUCGUAUGAAACUGUAUAAGGAGAAGACGGAUCAUCUGGAGUUUCAUUUUGCCACCAAAGCUUCGAUAGAGUGGCGCAAAGUAUUUUCUAAAGUUCUUUCAAGUAGUGCUAUUUAUUUUAAAAAUACAAAAAUGAAAUUACAACAACAAGCUAUAACCGCUGGAGCAUACGGUUUUGCGUUUAUCCUUUCUGUACUUUUGCUAAAAUAUGCAUUAUACGAGAAGAAAUUUGCUAUUGCAGCUAACCUAUUAUUGGUUGUAAGUGUAGCUUGCUUCCGUUUAUUCUUGUUAAAAGAUCAAAGUACCCGGCUUCAGGAAGGCAUCGUCCUUAUUUUGUUUAUAUUAUUUGAUAGAAAUCUUCUCAAUUUUGGCAAUCUUUUGCUUCUUCUUGGCGUUGCGUGCGUACGCGAGCAAUUUCACCGGGAAUCGCCUGCCGACAAGGAUGUACUGUACAAGGAGACCGUAUCUCUAACAUGUGGAUUAAUUUUUGCUCUCAUGGACUGGUACAGCGUUGGCAGAAUUCUCAUAAUUCAUGCGCUCAUCGUGUUUUACUACCAUACGAUUCUAAUGACUUUCUCCGUGUUUCUUGUUGUUAUCAAUUGGUUUUUCAACUUCUACGAAUUUAUGAUGGGUAAUCAGAAACAGGAACCUUAUCAAACAAAGACGAAUUGAUAUUAUUACUACUAUGUAGCUGUUGAAUGAUACAUCAAGAGGCGCGGUAGCGCUCUGAUGUCAAGUAUAACUAUAUAAUUGCAAUAUACCUACUUUGCUUCCGGGGAGAAUUUUUAUACAUACGAUUUCAUCUGUUACAAUUUCUUCGUUACAUUUGUUUGAAAACAGCAUAUUCUAUAGUUAUGCAAAUACAUAUUGUUAUAAAUAUAUUCAUGUAAGCCGAAUAUCAUAUUAUUUUCGAAUUUUCCAAGUUGAAUUGGAAAUUGAAUAUUGAAUUGGAGUGUAUAUGUAUGUACGUAUAUGUUUGUUAUAUACUUCACGUGCUUCAAUACCACUUCUUCAAUUGUUAUAAAAAUAAAUAAAUAUUUUUUAUUAUUUUUUUAAAGAGUAUAUUUUCAUUUAUAUUCCAUAAAGUAAUUACGAAAAUAUGAAUAUUGAAAGUGUUCACAUAGAAAAAUUCUACAAAUAUUCUUUUAAUAUUGAACCGACAACUAACGCACAAACAGUAAAAAUUAACGUUCAGACAACAAAAGAUGACUCGAGUACUACGAACGAUUCUGAAGAAAAAUAUUCCGACUCUGUUGAAGAUCAGGCUGCUAUAAAUUGCCAAGAUGAUCAAGAAAAUGGCUUAUGCUACGUUGAAAAUAUGAUGAUUGGGUGGAGCAAAUUUUCAAAAUUACGAAACUGGUGUUAUCACAUACGAUACAUCAACAAUCUGAGGAGCAGUUCAAUGAAUUAUUGUGCUUACGAAGUAAAGUGGACUAAACCAAUGGAAGGUUUCACUUACCCGAUAAUUACAGCGAGCGUUUAUUUUUUCAUUAAAAUAAACAAAACCGCAGAAAAAUCAUCAGUUACUACAGUUGAUAUAAAAUACGUGUUUGAAGGCAACCGAUUUAUGCACGAUGCCAGUACACAGUUUAACCCUACGUGGCUGUAUAACGCCUACGAAAACAAAAGAUGCGCAGUUGAAUCGCAUCAAUUUUUAUAAACUACGCUAAAUUUCACAACAAUUAAUGCACUAUUCUAAAACAUGACUUGAAAAUGUAAGAUAAAGUAUGUAUGUUUUGCCUGCUUAGCGAUAUCUCGAAAACUUGUAAAAAAUUUAUGACGAAAAUUAUUUAUCAAUCAUGGAUACCAUGUCUGUACACCGCAUUAAUUGUUAUAUACUAAGUAAUUGUUAUAAACCAUCAUCACAAGUUAUAAAAAUUAUCUUGCUGAUAGUUUCGAUUUCGACCGCCUUGUGGAAGUUUUUUGUUCGUGCGUAUUAUGUGGCGCUACUUGUAGCUUAUUCAAUGCGAAUAGGAUGCGAUCCAUUCUCCAAGUAGCUCCUCUCGUGUGUGGCUGCGCCUUGUAUUAACGCUUGACACAUAAGUAGUUAAAAAUAAUGGCGGAGAAUCGUGACAAUUACGUGUUCAAUUUAAUUCGUCUAAUUCAAUUCCAUAUAGUCAGAAAUUUAAAGUACUAUCUUUGGGGACUUUAUCACUUUCUUUAUAGACCAAGGAAGCAGUUAAGUCAUCGUCCAAACACGAGUCAGGAUAAAUAUUGGAAUAAUGUGGUGUACAACUUGGCUGUUGGAUCAUUCGUGGAUUUUAUAGUUAUAUAUGCUAUACACUUACCAGAAUUUCUUGCAAGAAAUUCUUGGAAAUUUAUCUUUCAACUAUGUAUCAUGGCCGCUUGUAUUUAUUUACGCAAGUCAAUUCAAGCAUUUAAAAACGAUUGGCUAACAGUAGCUUCUUCAGGUUUAGCGCUAUUUUUACUGCACCUCAAUGAUCAUGAUCUGACCAUAGUGAUUUACAUUGCCCUUCUGACUGGAAGUCAAAAGUUGUAUUACACUAAGAGCAAUACAUGGUUUAUCAGAGAGGUCAUAUAUGCGGCGGUUCUACUCGCUAUCGUAGGCGCUGUAUAUGUAGCGAAUUUAUAUGAUAUUAGUGUGGUUAUCGUGUUAUACGCUAUUUGUACAUCGAUAUUCACUCCAUACAUCGUUGCUUUGGGUGCUUUGCAAUUAUUGCUGUUUACUUAUGUGCUAGGGCAUAAUAUAGAAGAAAAAACUAGUGACUUAUUGGAUGAAAAGUCAAACAAUAUGGCAUUUGUUCACAAUGACGACAGAGUAGAUGCUAUCGAAGCAUCAUAAUGAAAGAUAUACUAUUUUAAUAAAAUGAUAUUUUUAAA